This is a long non-coding RNA of Oreochromis niloticus (Nile tilapia), 2149 nucleotides long. RefSeq lists it as uncharacterized. The transcript is spliced from 3 exons. The record is from RefSeq and is a predicted model, not a curated record. NCBI's taxonomy places the organism in Eukaryota, Metazoa, Chordata, Actinopteri, Cichliformes, Cichlidae.
CCACCUGUGUGUAAUCUCCCCGUGUUUCUCUGUGUGUAUUUAAGUCGCGUCUUCUGUCUUUGUGGGGGCUGGUCUGUCUGUGUAUCCGCCAUGUUCCACUUGUGUGUCUGGUGUUAGAAUUUUAGUUUGUAAAUAGUUGUAAAUAGUCUGGUCAAGUCGCAAUCGUGUAUUUUGUUCACCUUGUACAUAUUUUUCACUGCAGCAGCCUAGUAGGCGUGAGAAGCCAUUUUUGUUUAAGUUUUCUCCUGUUUUUUGUUAGAAAGUUAGGUAAGUGGAUUGUCUUUUGGUUGGUUUUUAUUUUGUGUAGGACAGCAUAGGGACCAGUAGGGAGUUUUGUUUGUUAUUUUUGGCAUUGCUCACAGCUGAAGCAAAAUAAAUGGCUGCUUAGCACUUUAAAAGGAUAUUGUUGUUUGUGUGUUUGCUUGGGUGGUGUGUGAGUGGGCCAACUUCUUGUUGCGUUCAUACACGCCUAGACAAAGAACGUAACACUAUUACUGUGAAUGUGUUUGUGAGUUUGCUUAAAUAUUCUUUGAUGUUGCGGACGUUAGCAUGCAGGCUUCUGUGGUUUAAGUGGACAAUUGAUAUUUUACCAUCUACCUUGAUAGUUCUGUAAAACAGGUCAUCCCUGUGAUAAAAGCAGGUAUUAAUGGUGCUGUUAAAAAAAGUGAAUUUCUGGGUCAUUUGUUCCUCAUCAACUGUGGUGCACAGAGCACUGAAAAGACUCCAAGCUUGGACUUCCUUUAAUUCUUCAAAACCCGUGCAUUCCUGGCAGUGUAUGCAUUUCACUUCAUCAGCCUGAUGUUGUUUAUAUACUAAAGGAAUCCUGUCGCCUGUUCCUCUGCAGAGUUUAUAUCCGACUCACUGGGUUCCCUCCAUUUUCGAGGUGAAUUUGCUUAUCCUUCUCAGCAAUCUGUAUCAGUAGAUCCACCAAUUCCAACAUACUUUUGUGUUAGAGAUGGACCUUCUUCUUUGGCUUCAUAUAUGCUGAUACACCUGACGGGUGUUCUCGGGAUGACUUAGAGGAUUUCUGUAGCUGAAGUCCAGUCUAAUGGGAAAUGGACCGGUUCUCAUAUAGCACUUUAUUCAACUUCACCCAUAUUCACACAAGCACUUUUUUCUCUACAAGUAAGUGCUUUCACACCCCAAUGAAAGCAUCACAGAGGAUCUCCCAAUUAGGAGAUAUACUACACAACAUCCUAACCCACAGCAACCAGAGGAGCAAAUAGUCUAUUCAUUCAAGACUGGUAUCAAGCUCUAGUGCUAGCAUAUUCUGAUCUCCAAGGAAACAAAGUAACCUUUAUUUAAAGCUUCCUUCUACUUGGAAGGUACAAUAUAGUCUUGAUUAAGGGGAAGCCCAUUUUGAAGAAAUGUAAAUUAAUUGCCAAAUUCAUAAGUCAUAAAUGAACACAUAAACUUUCUUUUAAUAUUCACUCUUAGCUCAAGUUGCUUGAUGAGUUUCUCAGUGUUUAACAGAAAUAUUACAGAGAUAUUAAGCUCUUAGGAAAGAUGACAUACUAGUAAUAUUGCUUCUGUAAAGUGUCCAGAGUAAAAGCAAGUGAAGGCUAUAUAUGAAAAUUAAAGAAGGUGACUGUUGUUGUGAUUUGGCCCUAAAUAAAUAACUUUGAAUUGAAUUGAACUGAAUUUAACAUAAGAAGAGAAGAGGGGAAGAAAGCCAGAGAGGAGACACACAUUCUGAAUGGUUAGUGGUAAACCAUCACUGUUGGUUUUUAAGGUGUGUGUGUGUGUGUGUGUGUGUGUACGUAAGUGAGUCCAUCUGUGCUAGCCACAGCACAGUGAUGGUUUGGCAGGGAAGAGAAGGCAGCUGGCCGGACUGAACUAGGGUGGGACCGAGCAGUAGUGCCAAAGGACAGACGAGAAGUGUGUUUAAGUGUGUAUAAAGCACAUCUGUACUUUGGUAGUUCUGGUACUGUAUUUUAUGUUUGCUGUGCAGAGUUUUUUUAUGUAUCUGUAGCUGCAUGGGCCCAGUUAGUCCUGAGAAACAACCAGCACCCAUCAACACCACCUCAUUGUGAGACACAACUAAGGCCAAUCAAGGCAAAGCCUCGGUAAAGUUUUCAGUGCAAAAACAAGCAAAAACAUUUACGCAAAAUCUUGGUAGAAAUGUGGCGCAUGGGCAGAUCAAGGCCCC